AACGCUGGCGGCGUGCUUAACACAUGCAAGUCGAACGAAGCAUCCCUCCCGAAGAAGCGGACGUGCUUGCACAGAAGUGGAUUCAUUUGGGAUGACUUAGUGGCGGACGGGUGAGUAACGCGUGGGCAACCUGCCCCAUAGAGGGGGACAACAGUUAGAAAUGACUGCUAACACCGCAUAGUAAUGCAGAUCCGCAUGCUUCUGCAUUGAAAGCUUUUUGCGCUAUGGGAUGGGCCCGCGUUUGAUUAGCUAGUUGGUGAGGUAACGGCCCACCAAGGCGACGAUCAAUAGCCGGCUUGAGAGAGUGAACGGCCACAUUGGGACUGAGACACGGCCCAAACUCCUACGGGAGGCAGCAGUGGGGAAUAUUGCACAAUGGGGGAAACCCUGAUGCAAGCGACGCCGCGUGAGUGAAUGAAGUAUUUCGGUAUGUAAAGCUCUAUCAGCAGGAAAGGUAAUGACGGUACCUGACUAAGAAGCCCCGGCUAACUACGUGCCAGCCGCUGC
Molecule: ribosomal RNA, 507 nt
Filed under: uncultured bacterium
Lineage: Bacteria
Description: bacterial SSU rRNA
Rfam family: Bacterial small subunit ribosomal RNA
Source: RNAcentral